Molecule: non-coding RNA, 195 nt
Filed under: Pradoshia sp.
Lineage: Bacteria; Bacillati; Bacillota; Bacilli; Caryophanales; Bacillaceae
Description: 6S RNA
Rfam family: 6S / SsrS RNA
About the family: E. coli 6S RNA was the first non coding RNA to be sequenced, but its function was unknown until recently.
Source: RNAcentral
UACAAGCUGCGUUGUACGUGAUGCAUAAUUAAGUUUUAACCUUUAAGCUGUAUUAGGGAGUUUUAAAAAUUUAUGGAAAUGACAAGCCUCUGUCUAGAUGACAUGGGGGACAUGCAGGAACAUAAUUGCGAACACCCACUUGUUGAAGUGGUGGUUUAAAACUUUCUUAUAAUGUAACGGCAAAGGCGGCUGUAC